This 253-nucleotide ribosomal RNA is filed under the name uncultured bacterium. Its description in RNAcentral is "partial 16S ribosomal RNA". It matches the Rfam family "Bacterial small subunit ribosomal RNA", at positions 524 to 776 of the family's 1533-position model. The record is from RNAcentral.
GACGUAGGGCGCGAGCGUUGUCCGGAUUUAUUGGGCGUAAAGAGCUCGUAGGCGGCUUGUCGCGUCGUCCGUGAAAACCUGCAGCUCAACUGCAGGCUUGCGGUCGAUACGGGCAGGCUAGAGUUCGGUAGGGGAGACUGGAAUUCCUGGUGUAGCGGUGAAAUGCGUAGAUAUCCGGAGGAACACCGGUGGCGAAGGCGGCUUCCUGGACCGACACUGACGCUGAGGCGCGAAAGCUAGGGGAGCAAACGGG